Molecule: long non-coding RNA, 386 nt
Organism: Mytilus californianus (California mussel)
Lineage: Eukaryota; Metazoa; Mollusca; Bivalvia; Mytilida; Mytilidae
Exons: 4
Source: RefSeq, a predicted model, not a curated record
AAAGCUUUUGUCCACACUAGGUACAAAUGAUAGGCAAUUGCCUAAGGUUGCCUGGACCCAAAGACCCAGGUGGGUAAAGUUACGGAACUUUUUUAAUUGAGGUCCAAAGUUGGGGUAGGGUGACCCAACCCCCUCCCUUCUUUAAUUCAUAAAAAAGUCCCUACGGCAAAGCUUUUGUCCACACUAGGUACAAAUGAUAGGCAAUUGCCUAAGGUUGCCUGGACCCAAAGACCCAGGUGGGUAAAGUUACGGAACUUUUUUAAUUGAGGUCCAAAGUUGGGGUAGGGUGACCCAACCCCCUCCCUUCUUUAAUUCAUAAAAAAGUCCCUACGGCAAAGCUUUUGUCCACACUAGGUACAAAUGAUAGGCAAUUGCCUAAGGUUGCC